GCUCUUCUAGUAUAUUAAUUACAAUUGACUUCCAAUCUCUAAAUUCUGGCACGACCCCAGAGAAGAGCA
RNAcentral lists this transfer RNA (69 nucleotides) under Ninox scutulata. Its description in RNAcentral is "tRNA-Gly". Lineage: Eukaryota; Metazoa; Chordata; Aves; Strigiformes; Strigidae. The record is from RNAcentral.